RNAcentral lists this ribosomal RNA (292 nucleotides) under uncultured bacterium. RNAcentral's name for it is "partial 16S ribosomal RNA". The record is from RNAcentral. RNAcentral also lists the same sequence under 1 other name.
GGACUACUGGGGUAUCUAAUCCCGUUUGCUCCCCUGGCCUUCGCGCCUCAGCGUCAGGAACUGUCCAGAGAUCCGCCUUCGCCACUGGUCUUCCUCACGAUAUCUACGCAUUUCACUGCUACACCGUGAAUUCCAAUCUCCUCUCCAGUCCUCUAGCAAAGCAGUAUCGAGUGCAGUUUCAGAGUUGAGCUCUGAGAUUUCACACCCGACUUACCCCGCCGCCUACGCGCCCUUUACGCCCAAUGAAUCCGAACAACGCUUGAGACCUCUGUAUUACCGCGGCUGCUGGCAC